RNAcentral lists this ribosomal RNA (569 nucleotides) under Debaryomyces sp. H9Y14. Its description in RNAcentral is "eukaryotic LSU rRNA". The stretch from base 172 to 325 matches the Rfam family "5.8S ribosomal RNA". The record is from RNAcentral. Lineage: Eukaryota; Fungi; Ascomycota; Pichiomycetes; Serinales; Debaryomycetaceae.
GCGCGGCGAAAAACCUUACACACAGUGUUUUUUGUUAUUACAAGAACUUUUGCUUUGGUCUGGACUAGAAAUAGUUUGGGCCAGAGGUUUACUGAACUAAACUUCAAUAUUUAUAUUGAAUUGUUAUUUAUUUAUUUGUCAAUUUGUUGAUUAAAUUCAAAAAAUCUUCAAAACUUUCAACAACGGAUCUCUUGGUUCUCGCAUCGAUGAAGAACGCAGCGAAAUGCGAUAAGUAAUAUGAAUUGCAGAUUUUCGUGAAUCAUCGAAUCUUUGAACGCACAUUGCGCCCUCUGGUAUUCCAGAGGGCAUGCCUGUUUGAGCGUCAUUUCUCUCUCAAACCUUCGGGUUUGGUAUUGAGUGAUACUCUUAGUCGAACUAGGCGUUUGCUUGAAAUGUAUUGGCAUGAGUGGUACUGGAUAGUGCUAUAUGACUUUCAAUGUAUUAGGUUUAUCCAACUCGUUGAAUAGUUUAAUGGUAUAUUUCUCGGUAUUCUAGGCUCGGCCUUACAAUAUAACAAACAAGUUUGACCUCAAAUCAGGUAGGAUUACCCGCUGAACUUAAGCAUAUCA